This 422-nucleotide unclassified non-coding RNA is filed under the name Hevea brasiliensis (rubber tree). The record is from RNAcentral. Lineage: Eukaryota; Viridiplantae; Streptophyta; Magnoliopsida; Malpighiales; Euphorbiaceae.
AAAUAACUUGGUUUGCAGUUUAUGUCUUACAAGAGCACUGGAAACAUUGGUUGUUUUUCGACAUUGAAGAAAUUCUCUUAGCGAGCUAUGCCUGAGUUCAGUUGAACAAAGGCACUAGCAGACUAGCAGUAUAUGCAGGAGUCAACAUAAAAAUGGAAGAAAUGGGAAAAUAUUUUCAACCUCAGAGGAGAUAAUUCUAUGUCAAAGCAGAGAAGUUUCUUUUGGGGAUAAAAUGCUACUGAAUUUUACUGACCCUUAUAAAAGGUGUCUGCAAGCUUCAAUUUACAGGAUUCUAGUUCUUAAUGAAUUACAGAAGAGUCAACUCAGGGAACACAUUACAGAAGGCACAGCAGAAUGUAAUCCACUUGAAAUACCUAGCUAAAUGAGACAAGUUUUAAGUUCUCCAUUGUAGCUCAAUUUGA